UCUUUCUCGAUUCCGUGGGUGGUGGUGCAUGGCCGUUCUUAGUUGGUGGAGCGAUUUGUCUGGUUAAUUCCGAUAACGAACGAGACUCUGGCAUGCUAACUAGUUACGCGACCCCCGAGCGGUCGGCGUCCCCCAACUUCUUAGAGGGACAAGUGGCGUUCAGCCACCCGAGAUUGAGCAAUAACAGGUCUGUGAUGCCCUUAGAUGUCCGGGGCUGCACGCGCGCUACACUGACUGGCUCAGCGUGUGCCUACCCUACGCCGGCAGGCGCGGGUAACCCGUUGAACCCCAUUCGUGAUGGGGAUCGGGGAUUGCAAUUAUUCCCCAUGAAC
Molecule: ribosomal RNA, 332 nt
Filed under: Escherichia coli
Lineage: Bacteria; Pseudomonadati; Pseudomonadota; Gammaproteobacteria; Enterobacterales; Enterobacteriaceae
Description: SSU rRNA
Rfam family: Eukaryotic small subunit ribosomal RNA
Source: RNAcentral